CUCUCCCCUUGAACUCCUUUAUAGUAUAUAACAGUUAACCUUAUCAAAAAACAAAAUAUAUCUGAUACUCAAUCCUAGCCUAGAAGAUAGGUAGUUUUAUUGUACUUUCCCCCGCUCUUUCUUUGAUGCAAAGUUGCUGGACCUCUAUGUGACCAUUUACUAUUCCUUUCUGCUGUUUCUUGCUUGGCUUCCGAAUCUACUGCCAUGCACUAACCUCAUAUUUCCCAUGCUAACCAUCAAACGUAAUUUCAUUCAAGAGUUCUUCAUCCACACCCUUUUCCUUGUAGUGGAUCACAUGUCAAACUUUGACUAAACGCUUGGAAUUGGCAUCAUCAGUGGUGUUUUACUUGUGUAGUCAACCAGAUUCUUUACAAUGAAAUUAUACUCGUCACUUAUGGAUCUUGUGUUAAUAUGUAAAUCUGCAUGGUCAGCAUCCGAAUAGGCUAUUAUAUUUGAUAAACUCUGAGAAAGAAAUAUCCUCUUUGGACAAGCAUGAAUAUAUCUUAGGAUCCUUACAACUACAUUUUUAUUGGUUCUUUUUUCGCUUAUGCAUUAAGUAGCUUAUUUUCCAACUGCAUAUGAGAUGUACGUGCUGUUUAAUAUGAGAUGGGUGAGACUAUUAACUAUUUGCCUGGUUUUUGUCACACCUGACAAAUGUUGGAUUUUUUUCUUUGUAAGCUUUUGAUUUGUUGGGCAUGACACCAGAUCACGUUUCUUAGUGGGACAAUGCGUAUUUUAUGUUUAUAUAAAAGUGCCUCUUUUCAACGUACUUCAGCUCCUAGAGAACAUUCAAAUUUCCUUCAAUCCUGA
RNAcentral lists this long non-coding RNA (810 nucleotides) under Amborella trichopoda. RNAcentral's name for it is "long non-coding RNA (ATRI_LNC002370)". The record is from RNAcentral. Lineage: Eukaryota; Viridiplantae; Streptophyta; Magnoliopsida; Amborellales; Amborellaceae.